GGAGGGAGUAAAUAUCUGCUGGGUGAGUCAGGAGUGGCUCAGCAUGGCGGAGGCCCAGCGUCUCCCAGCUGUCUCUGUGGAAUGAGGGAUGAAUUCUCGCUGGGCUCUCCCUCUCUCCUGCCUUAUCUCUCCCACGCUGCUGCGUUUGAUUGGGCCGCAGAGGGGAGUAGAGCACAAAUGUCCACGGUGUUUGCAGGUGUCGAGGUAAUGUCUGGUACAGGGAGAUCUUCAGUGGAAAUGUGACACUGCUCUGGGGAACAUGUCUCACCAAAUAUACUCAAAUCUGAACAGCACCAGUCUGGGCCUCUUCGAGAUGUCAGCAGCUCCUAAUUUGUGCGUCACGUUUCAGAGCGAAGGACGUUCACGCAGUGGCAGCUUCGGAAUUGACAAUUAUUCUUGUUUUCAUAUGGAGAGGCAUCAGUGAACCCACAGCGCGGUGUCACGACUCAUGCUAAUCAGCAUUUUGUAAAUCUUAGUCUGAACGGGAAACUAGGAAUGCUUAACUAAUCCAAGACCAAUCCUAACGUGAGCGCCUCAAAGCAUAUUACACGGCUAAAGCCAGACUUAUCAGCAGUGAGUGGCUCUACAGGAUUCUCUACACACGUGCAUUUCAAAAAAAAAAAAAAUCCAAAAAAGAAACAAAGGAAUGAGGCAGUAAAGCAUGCUCUGCCUGAGGAUCAUAAGUUACAGGUGCAUCUUUUAAAAAUGUAAUAUCUUUAAAAAGUUUCUUUAUUUCAGUAAUUCAUUUCAAA
Molecule: long non-coding RNA, 752 nt
Filed under: Astyanax mexicanus (Mexican tetra)
Lineage: Eukaryota; Metazoa; Chordata; Actinopteri; Characiformes; Acestrorhamphidae
Description: lncRNA (ENSAMXG00005021974.1)
Source: RNAcentral